This is a long non-coding RNA of Brienomyrus brachyistius, 1364 nucleotides long. RefSeq lists it as uncharacterized. NCBI's taxonomy places the organism in Eukaryota, Metazoa, Chordata, Actinopteri, Osteoglossiformes, Mormyridae. The transcript is spliced from 4 exons. The record is from RefSeq and is a predicted model, not a curated record.
AUUAUGACACUUGGCAUGCCUUCCAGUCCUCUUCACUUCUCCAUUAGACAUUCUGAACACGGCUGUUACACAGCUCCAGUGCAUGCAGCUACCACCCCCAUCUCUCACAUGCCCUCAAGCUCUAUGAGCCAGGUCUCUGCUACACCUCUUUCUGAAGAACAUCAAGACCAUUCAUUUAAACCCCGGUUUAGACUGGGGAGGACAGGCACUGGACCUAUUCCUUGCUCUAGUAAAAUUCUUUUCAUUUGAAAACUGAGUCUGUGACUAAACGAUGUUUAAAAUAAUAAAUAUUGAGAACUUGGUAGAUAUUGUCCUUGUGACCACAUUAUAAAAAAUAUGUAAAUCAACUAUUUUAAUUAAAUACUUUCCCAACUCUUUGUAGCCGCUCAACUGCACAUCCUAACACUGUUGGAACAUAUCAAGGAACAGCAGAUGCAGCUUGCUGCUACCGUUAAUAAUCCUGCUGCACGUAUGGCGACAGACACGGCUGUGGCUGAAAUGCCUCCCAAUAUCAGUUUGCCACUGGCCACCAUGUCUGAAGUUGAGGAGUUGGAGGAGUGGCUUAAAGAUUCAAGAAACUCGCAGGCUAAGCAAAACAUGAUUUCUGCUCUGGGUGCUACAGGAGGACAAAAUGCUAAACGAGUCACAUGGAACAUACUUUCAAGGCUUUUCUCAGAUGCAGUAGCCAAAAAAAUAAACUGGAAAGGAGUUAAUGGGAAGAAGUGCUUUAAAGAAACGCACACAAGAAGUUUGCUGAUCAGAGCUGUAAGGAAGAACCAGUCUUCCUCCGGUGUAGCAGAUAGUGAGGUCGAUUCUUACACCAUCCGUUGGUUUAACCUGGCGUCUGACCGUGGAGGUGGCCGGAAAGAACGUGCAAGAGCCAAAGAGGCAUCAACUGAGGUGAAACUUCUAUGGAAGGAGCAUUAUGGCAGUGUGUGUGUUUUUAGCUUUGAUGAUUUUUGCACUUGGUUCAAUUUUAAAAAUGUAACUUGGGUUGUCUUGGUUAUUCUGAGACUUAGACUUGACUCGUGUUCACAACAUAGUACGGUAAGUAUGUGGAAUCAUAUUCUGAGCAAUAGGUGCUGACAUCCAAAAGGAAAAGGAGAUUUAGCAUUUAAUGUCAUACCCUGCUACAAUAACAGUGCUCCCUGAAUGCAGCUGCAGCACAUUUGUAUGGCAAGAUAUAAUAUUACAGGAUAACCAUACAAAAUGCAUUUCCUAAACGGCUGUGUCAUGCCCAGCUCGUCCGCUCCUCGUGUGUGCCACGCCCCCCCUGAUUACCCACGUGUUCUUUCCCGAUUGUACCCAGCUGUGUCUGAUUAUUUUCAAUCAGUCCUGUGUAUUUCAGUCCGUGUCUUACCUGA